AUUGAACGCUGGCGGCAUGCCUUACACAUGCAAGUCGAACGGCAGCACGGGUGCUUGCACCUGGUGGCGAGUGGCGAACGGGUGAGUAAUACAUCGGAACAUGUCCUGUAGUGGGGGAUAGCCCGGCGAAAGCCGGAUUAAUACCGCAUACGAUCUACGGAUGAAAGCGGGGGACCUUCGGGCCUCGCGCUAUAGGGUUGGCCGAUGGCUGAUUAGCUAGUUGGUGGGGUAAAGGCCUACCAAGGCGACGAUCAGUAGAGGGUCUGAGAGGACGACCAGCCACACUGGGACUGAGACACGGCCAAGACUCCUACGGGAGGCAGCAGUGGGGAAUUUUGGACAAUGGGCGAAAGCCUGAUCCAGCAAUGCCGCGUGUGUGAAGAAGGCCUUCGGGUCGUAAAGCACUUUUGUCCGGAAAGAAAUCCUUGGCUCUAAUACAGUCGGGGGAUGACGGUACCGGAAGAAUAAGCACCGGCUAACUACGUG
RNAcentral lists this ribosomal RNA (486 nucleotides) under uncultured bacterium. Its description in RNAcentral is "partial 16S ribosomal RNA". It matches the Rfam family "Bacterial small subunit ribosomal RNA", at positions 30 to 507 of the family's 1533-position model. The record is from RNAcentral.